This 5379-nucleotide long non-coding RNA is filed under the name Mytilus galloprovincialis (Mediterranean mussel). The record is from RNAcentral. Lineage: Eukaryota; Metazoa; Mollusca; Bivalvia; Mytilida; Mytilidae.
AUUUGUUUAGUGUUUUGCCGUAGGAUAGGUAGGAUGCAUACCUGCAGCACAUUGGUUAGUAUAAUAUUUGAUUUUGAGAAAAAAAUGUACUACUUUUAUAUUUUACUUUGAAAUCAAUACAUUUAGUUAUCUCUCUGACCUUAUUUUUUGUUUAUUUAUAUGAAAAAUAAUCAUGUCGUACGUUGACGUAUUUCUAAUUUCUUUCAAGAUAUUCAUUGCCAUCAUAUGUGCAUGAUGUGCAGUUACGAUCAAACUGUAUUACCCUAAAAAAAUUGAAUGAUAGGGGACGGCAAUCCAAUAACGAGAACAAUUAAAAUAUAUAAGGAGGGCAUCAUCAAUGUUGCUAUUAUCGUAGCACAACCAGUCGAAGUCGAGAUUUGAUAUAGUGCGAUAUCAUAUCUGGCUUCGUGAUAAUACUCUUGAAGAUGUUGUGAACUUUUGGGAAGCUAUGCAAGUUCAGGGAUUUUUUUCUUGAUAAUUAGCAAACCGUUUUCUUUAUUUGUUUGUAUUCUUUAUUUUUUAAUUUGAUUUAUAUCACGUUAAUUGGAUGUUAUUCCCAAAUUUCAAUUAGUUAGUUAAUACUACAUAAUUCAACUGAUGCAUUCAUCUCCAUCAAAAGAGAAAAAAGAAACAAAACAAACAAAACAAAAAUGAAGAAGAAAAACCAUACAACCAUCGACAAAACUUAGUUUAUAUUUAGCUGAUUCUUUAAUGAAAGAAGGCAUUUAAAAAUUGUUAAGUUAAAAAGAGAAUAGAAAUAGAAAAACAAGAUGUUAAAAGGGCCAGAAAAAAUUCAGAUGGACUUAUUUGACUUAAAGUCGGAUUCUAAUACAAAUUUAAAUCCUGGUAUCUAUGAUGAAUUUAUUUACAACCACUGGGUCGAUGCCACUACUGGUGGAGUUUUAAUUCUGCGACGGUAUCACCAACCCAGUAGUCAGUACCUCUGUGCUGACAUGAAUUGUCCUUGAUAUGAUCAUUUUUAUAAAUUAACUGUUUACAAAACUUUUGAAUGUGUGAAUUACUAAGGCUUUUCUACCGCAGUAAUAUAUUACCUUAGCUGUUUAUGGCAAAACUUUAAGGAAUAUUGGUCCUCAAUGCUCUUCAACUUCGUAUUUCAUUUGGCCUUUUUGUUUUUUGGAUUCGUGCGUCACCGAUGAGUCUUUUGUAGACGAAACGCGCGUCCAGCGUAAAAACAAAUUUAAAUCCUGGUAUCUAUGAUGAGUUUAUUUAUCCAUGACACAAAAAACAAAUACAGAAAAUCUCAAUCUAUGAUUGAAUUACACAAAAGAUGCUUACGCAUUUUACCGAUGUCAAAAGUUUGUUAUUCUCAUUUGAAUACAAAAACAAGGGAUAACAUACUAGAAAAUUCCAUGGUCUUCAAACUUCGAACGACUGGAUGCUUUUACAGGGUACCUCAUGGUCUUCAAACGUAGAAAACUGGAUGUUUUGACAGGGUUUCUCAUGGUCUUUACACGUAGAAAGACCGGAUGAUUUGAUAGGGUACCUCAUGGUCUUUACACGUAGAAAACCGGAUUUUUUGACAGGCUAUCCUCUGGUCUUUACACGUAAAAAGACCGGAUGCUUUGACAGGUUAGCCUAUCGUCUUCAUGGAUACUUUGAAGGGUAUCCCAUUGUCUUCAAACGUUAAACGACUAGAUGCUAUGAAUGUGUAUCCCAUGGUCUUUAAACGUAGAAAGACCGGAUACUUUUACAUGGUAUCCUAUGGUCAUCAAACGUAGAAAGACAAAAAGACCCGAUGCUUUUACAUGGUAUCCUAUGGUCAUCAAACGUAGAAAGACCGAAUACUUUUACAUGGUAUCAUAUGGUCAUCAAACGUAGAAAGACCGGAUGCUUUUACAGGGUUUCCUAUGGUCUUCAUACUUAGAAAAACGGGAUGCUUUGAGGGUAUCCUAUAGUCGUCAAACGUAGAACGACUGAAUUAUUUUAAAGUGUAUCCCAUGGUAUUCAUAUGUAGAACAACUGGAUGCCUUGAAAGUUUAUUCCAUGUUUAAAAAGGAUAAGCGUCUCUGGCAUGUAUCACCCGCAAUAACAAUCAAGACUCAAUUAAAACUAUCACAAGCUUAAAUUAGGCAGAACCGACAAAUCACAGACCACACGACUGCAAUAAGGACGAUAAACGCAAAAAAUGCUGGAGGGUUAACCAUGUUUUGUUAGAUUUCAACCCUUCCCCUAUACCUCAAGCUAAAGUGGAAUAAACAAACAGACUACAAAACGCACAAUAAAACUCAGUUCAAAAGAUGUUAGAAUAGGUAACAGAAGAAACAUGAAAAAUCUCAUGAAAAUCAACCACAAUCCCUGCAAUAAUUAAUAUUUCAAUAAUUAAUAGCAUGAUUAUACUUUUAAAUCGGUAAUUUAAACGUAGAGACAUCAUAGUUAUUUUUAUAAUACAUUUUUGUAUAUGUUUAAGAAUUCAGUAGUGAAGCAGUUGUUUAUAGUUUCAUGUUUUCAACUAGAAUUAUUAUUAUCAUGAUUGAACGCUGCAAAAGUCAUAAAUCUGAAUAGACCAGUUUUUGUCUUAAUUUGGAUGAACUUUUACUCGACAUUCUCCAAAAGUAUGACUUGUGUCUUAUUUUUUCUUGACAAAAUCUCAUUUAUAUUAAAUUUGUAUGAAAUUUACUCUACAUAUUCUCGACAUUCUGAAUAUGGUCUUAAAACUUCUUGACAAAUUCUUGACAUUUGAAUACUGUCUUGAAAUUUCAAGACAUAUUCUCGACAUUCUCAUUUUUUCUCGGUAUGGCUUGACAUAUUCUGAACAUUUUGAAUUGUGUCUUAAUUUUACUUGACAAUUCUGAUUUUUACAAAUCAUGACCAAUAUUCAUGAUAUAACUUUAAUCUUCAUUUCUCUUUAUAUAAUAUACUGUUGUUUAAAGUAACACUUCUUACAACAAAAAUUAAAGUUGGGCAUGUAAAAUAAUUGAAAUUUAAGGUGUAUGAAUUUACAGAUGCAAAUAUGGCUAUAAAAUCUAAAGUUUUAAUAAUUCAAAUGUCGGUAUGUUGAUAUAAAACAAUUUGAUUACUAAAUCUUAUGAAUAAUUACUAAAUGAUUAAAACCAAUCAAACUGUAGACAUAUUUCAUUUUACAUUCUUAAUAUUCAAUGCUAAUAUGGUAACAAAUUAUUGUAACAAAAUGUGGUUUAUAUAAAUAGCAAAGUAUAAUGGUAUCCUAAUUUCUCCAAGGAUUUGUAUAGUCUUUCUAUAAAUCCGUCAUCUAACAGAAGAAAAUUUGUGUAAUGUCAUCUGUUGGUAUACAUAUUAUUAGUUACAUGGUGUGUUAGAGACUCUCCAUAUGGAAUUUACUGACCCCAUAUAUAUCGUAUUAGGUCACUAGCAAGCCAUGUAACGAAUUUAUCUUACCGACUAUCUUCACAUUUGGUAUUUUGCCUAUCAAAGUGAUCAAGUCUUCAAUACUUAGUAUUAAGAUCCUACUUCCAUUUGUCUAUACAGAAAAAAAAAAAAAAAAAAAUGCCAACAAUAGCAACUUUUUACCUUUAAAAUUUGUUUUAUGAAUUAAUUUUCAAUACAUGUAUUUUAAUUACUUCGUCUGUUGAAUCCCUUCAGAUUUUUUUUGUUUGUUUUGAAAGGGAAGUAACCCCGUUAUGCCAACAAUAACAACUUGUUAGCUUCGAUUAUGUUUUAUGAACUAAUUUCAACCUUUCAUCAUCAAUUUCUUCGUCUUUUGAAUCCUUUCAGAUUUUCCUCAACAUUGUGUUGUUUUUAUGAAGGGCUGUGACAUCAUUUUUGUUUUGAAAGGGAAGUAACUCCUUACUUACCCAAUAUGGUAACUAACCAUGUAUGGUUGCUAACCCUAUAUUUUGUAGGACACCCUAUAUCAUAUAUACAUUGCCACCACGUGUAGUCCUUUAACCAAUCAUAUCUCUAUCAAUCCAUAGGAUCCAUAGGAGGUAAGAUAAUAAGUAUUACACGUAGACAGGAUAUUCCCCAUAAAAUUAAGGUCCACACCCAAGGGUACACGCAACUGUCAAAUAGAAAUUACUGCUUUACCUGUAAUCAGCCAUACAACUUAUCAGUUGACCGACCAUGUCACUACAAUUUAAAAAGUUUGUUGAUAGAUGAAAAUGAAAAUAAUAAUUGUAAUGAAAAAAAAAAAAUGAAUUACAAUGGAUUUUCUUCAUCAAAAUUAUGACAUUAAUUAUUAAAAAAAAACUGAAUAAUUCCCAAAGUUUAAAAAAAAAAUAUUAUCUACUCCAGGAAUAAUAAUAAAAAGUUUUUAUAAUGAGUCCCAUAUAGAAAUCAUUGAUCUUAUGAAAUGUAUCUCAUACAUACAUUCAUAAUAUAGAUCUAAAAAAAAAAAAAUCUUUUCAGGAGGGUAUAAAAUUCAACACUCAAAUUUAAAUAAAAAAUGUUUUGGGUAGUUUUAAAAAAUGAAUAAGGUUUUUGAAUAAAGAUUGGAACAAAUUCUUUGACCUAAAUGAAAGGCCCCCCUUUCAGUUACAUAAACGGAAAAAAUGAAUUGUAGGGUCUAAAAGAGACACAUAGUCACAUUUAAAACUGCCUACAAGACACCUAUUUUAAUAAAGCAAAUUUGACUGGCAGUUUUGCGAAAGGCAUAAAUCCAAAUGCUGUUUUUCAGUAACUUUGAGAUAUAUUCCAAGUGAAAACAAUUGAUUAAACGUUAAAUAAAAAUAUAUCAAAAUUAAACUACAUGGGGGAUUAUUAAGGGUAUUCCAACUUAGUUGCACCUAAAGAGUAUCUUACUUUACAAAAUUAAUCCUAGAUUCUUCAAAGUUUAGUUACGCCGUACUAGAAAGGAGCAUAUAACAGCAAUAGAAAGUCACAAACAGUCCAGAAUAAGUCUGUUCACAUUUCAGGCGAAAUUUAUACUGUUGAGAUAUUGUCAAGACAUAUUGAAGACGUUCAAGAAUGUGUCGAGAUAUAUUCAGACAGAUUUAAGACUGUCAAGAACAUAUCCAGACAUUAUUUUCAUACUUUUUGACUUUUGUCGUGACGUAGAAACAUAUCUUCAUCAUAUAACAUCGGUUAUUUUAUAGGUCGGUCUAUUUAUGACUGUGUUGUUGUUGGAUUUUCCUCCAAGUAUAGAUGCAGAAAUAAGCUAUCAAAUAAAUUCCACGGACAACAAACCAGACUGUUUUAAGAGAGGGAUCAAUAUAACAUGUUUCAAAGAAUUUCUGCAACCGGCAACAGAGACGCUAAACGAUACAAGCUCAUCUAAUUUCUUAUCGGAAUUAUUGAGAAAGAUCAAUAGUGAGGCUGAAACAACUGGUAAAUCUCGACACAAAAGGCAGGCAGGUGGUGUACCAGUUAGACGGGAAGUUAGAGCAGCUCCAUACGAAAACAACUUUUUACGUUACGCACUAGCUGUACGGGUGUUAAAGAACC